ACCGUCUUUACUGUUUUUCAAACCGAACAAUCAUUUUAGAAAACCGGAGAUUUUGAUCUUUUGCGUUUAUACAUAAAGACAUUUUAAUUUUAUCGAAUAAUAUUUCGGUAAUUGAAGAAUUUAGAAUAUAUCUGAAUGAUAUCAUGCCUAAAAUAUACAAGAAUACCAUCAAGUCAGGAGCAACAAAAUUAUUUAAACGUGUUAAAAUGAGUCUUCCAGUAACAAAGAAAAACAAAGAUAAUGCAAACAAAGAAGAAUUGAACAUUUCAAAACAUGCAGAAAGUAUGAUAGACAAGAUUUUAGGAGAUGUGAACAAAAAGUCUACUACUAAACAAAUUAUUAUUGGUACAACAUCAGGAUGGUUGACUGGUUUUAUAACAAUAAAAAUUGGAAAAAUUACUGCAUUUGCAGUUGGUGGUGGAAUUAUAAUGCUCCAAAUUGCAGCACAUCAAGGUUACAUUAAAAUUAAUUGGGAUAAAAUUCAAAAAAAAGCUGAGAAAAUAACAGAUAAAGUAGAAGAAACAGUAACAGGUGAAGGACCAAAAUUCUUGGAUAAGGUAGGAACAUGGUGUCGAAACAAUUCACUUGUGGCAACAAGUUUCAUUGGUGGUUUUAUUAUUGGUUUAGCAUCCUGAAUGAAAAACUAUUAGUUUUUUUUAUAAAAACAUGAGUGAACAUUAUAUAUUUGUUACUUUUAGCAUAUUAACAUUAUAUGUUAGGUUGAGAGAUAUGUUGAUAAAAAGUUAGAUAAAGCUGAACAAUUAUUAAAAAAUGGCGAAUCUCGUACACGUCGUUGGUAUCAUUCUAUAACUGGCGAUACUUCAUUUAAACCUACAGAAUUUCACUUUUUCCUUUCUUAUUUUGUAGGUGGUUUUGCACUUGGCAUUGUAAGUGGUAAAUUGAUUUAAAUGCAUUGUACUCUGAAUGCAUAUAAAAAAUCAGGUGCUUAUGUCUUAAGAACAAGAAUAAAACUGAAUGUCAAAA
RNA transcript from Apis dorsata (giant honeybee), 984 nucleotides. It is a transcript of the gene named FUN14 domain-containing protein 1, with no coding region annotated. Lineage: Eukaryota; Metazoa; Arthropoda; Insecta; Hymenoptera; Apidae. The record is from RefSeq and is a predicted model, not a curated record. The transcript has 6 exons.